RNAcentral lists this ribosomal RNA (412 nucleotides) under uncultured bacterium. Its description in RNAcentral is "bacterial SSU rRNA". It matches the Rfam family "Bacterial small subunit ribosomal RNA", at positions 505 to 916 of the family's 1533-position model. The record is from RNAcentral.
GUGCCAGCAGCCGCGGUAAUACGUAGGGGGCAAGCGUUAUCCGGAUUUACUGGGUGUAAAGGGAGCGCAGGCGGUGCGGCAAGUCUGAUGUGAAAGCCCGGGGCUCAACCCCGGUACUGCAUUGGAAACUGUCGUACUAGAGUGUCGGAGGGGUAAGUGGAAUUCCUAGUGUAGCGGUGAAAUGCGUAGAUAUUAGGAGGAACACCAGUGGCGAAGGCGGCUUACUGGACGAUAACUGACGCUGAGGCUCGAAAGCGUGGGGAGCAAACAGGAUUAGAUACCCUGGUAGUCCACGCCGUAAACGAUGAUUACUAGGUGUGGGGGGACUGACCCCUUCCGUGCCGCAGUUAACACAAUAAGUAAUCCACCUGGGGAGUACGACCGCAAGGUUGAAACUUAAAUGAAUUGACGG